GAUGAACGCUGGCGGCAUGCUUAACACAUGCCAGUCGGACGGGAAGUCGUUUUUCCAGUGGCGGACGGGUGAGUAACUCGUAAGAACCUGCCCUUGGGAGGGGGACAACAUCUUUAAUCGGCUGCUACUACCCCGUAGUCUGACGAGCAAAAGGAGGAAUCCGCCCGAGGAGGGGCUUGCGUCUGAUUACCUAGUUGGUUAGGCAAUAGCUUACCAAGGAGAUGAUCAGUCGCUGUUCCGAGAGGAUGAUCAGCCACACUGUGACUGAUACACGGACCAGAGUACUACGGGAGGCAGGAGUGGGGAAUAUUCCGCAAUGGGGGAAAGCCUGAGGGAGCAAUGCCGCGUGGAGGUAGAAGGCCCACGGGUCGAGAACUGCUUUUCAAGGAGAAGAAGCAAUGACGGUAUCUGGGGAAUAAGCAUCGGCUAACUCUGUG
Molecule: ribosomal RNA, 437 nt
Filed under: uncultured bacterium
Lineage: Bacteria
Description: partial 16S ribosomal RNA
Rfam family: Bacterial small subunit ribosomal RNA
Source: RNAcentral